Molecule: transfer RNA, 101 nt
Filed under: Actinobacteria bacterium OK074
Lineage: Bacteria; Bacillati; Actinomycetota; Actinomycetes
Description: tRNA-Ser
Rfam family: tRNA
About the family: Transfer RNA (tRNA) molecules are approximately 80 nucleotides in length. Their secondary structure includes four short double-helical elements and three loops (D, anti-codon, and T loops). Further hydrogen bonds mediate the characteristic L-shaped molecular structure. tRNAs have two regions of fundamental functional importance: the anti-codon, which is responsible for specific mRNA codon recognition, and the 3' end, to which the tRNAs corresponding amino acid is attached (by aminoacyl-tRNA synthetases). tRNAs cope with the degeneracy of the genetic code in two manners: having more than one tRNA (with a specific anti-codon) for a particular amino acid; and 'wobble' base-pairing, i.e. permitting non-standard base-pairing at the 3rd anti-codon position.
Source: RNAcentral
GGCUGGGUAGCUCAGUUGGUACGAGCGAUCGCCUGACUGCGUCUGAUUGCGGCUGCGCCGCGGGCGAUAGGUCGCCGGUUCGACCCCGGCCCCAGCCACAA